GGUGCCCGUACCGCAAACCGACACAGGUAGGCGAGAAGAGUAUUCUAAGGCGCGCGGAAGAACUCUCGUUAAGGAACUCGGCAAAAUGACCCCGUAACUUCGGGAGAAGGGGUGCCCCGGUAGUGUGAAUAGCACGAGGGGGCCGCAGUGAAAAGGCCCAAGCGACUGUUUAGCAAAAACACAGGUCUGUGCGAAGCCGUAAGGCGAAGUAUACGGGCUGACGCCUGCCCGGUGCUGGAAGGUUAAGGGGAGUGGUUAGGGAGCAAUCCCGAAGCUGUGAACCGAAGCCCCAGUAAACGGCGGCCGUAACUAUAACGGUCCUAAGGUAGCGAAAUUCCUUGUCAGGUAAAUUCUGACCCGCACGAAUGGCGUAACGACUUGGGCGCUGUCUCAACGAGAGAUCCGGUGAAAUUUUAAUACCUGUGAAGAUGCAGGUUACCCGCGACAAGACGGAAAGACCCCAUGGAGCUUUACUGCAGCUUGAUAUUGAAUUUGGGUACGAUCUGUACAGGAUAGGUGGGAGCCU
RNAcentral lists this ribosomal RNA (526 nucleotides) under Paenibacillus sp. UASWS1643. RNAcentral's name for it is "partial 23S ribosomal RNA". It matches the Rfam family "Bacterial large subunit ribosomal RNA", at positions 1637 to 2156 of the family's 2925-position model. Lineage: Bacteria; Bacillati; Bacillota; Bacilli; Caryophanales; Paenibacillaceae. The record is from RNAcentral.